AGAGUUUGAUCAUGGCUCAGGACGAACGCUGGCGGCGUGCCUAACACAUGCAAGUCGAGCGAAGAAUACCUAAAGAAAUCUUCGGAUGGAAUUUUGUAUUUCUUAGCGGCGGACGGGUGAGUAACGCGUGAGGAACCUGCCUUGCACAAGGGGAUAGCCUCGGGAAACCGGGAUUAAUACCCUAUGACACUUAAAAUUCGCAUGGAAAUUAAGUUAAAGCGUAAAGCGGUGCAAGAUGGUCUCGCGUCCCAUUAGCUAGUUGGUGAAGUAAAAGCUCACCAAGGCCACGAUGGGUAGCCGGCCUGAGAGGGUGAACGGCCACACUGGAACUGAGACACGGUCCAGACUCCUACGGGAGGCAGCAGUGGGGAAUAUUGCACAAUGGAGGAAACUCUGAUGCAGCGACGCCGCGUGAGCGAUGAAAGGUUUUCGGAUCGUAAAAGCUCUGUCCUAAGGGACGAUAAAUGACGGUACCUUAGGAGGAAAGCCCCGGCUAACUACGUGCCAGGCAGCCCGCGGUAAUACGUAAGGGGGCGAGCGUUGUCCGGGAUUUAAUGGGCGUAAAGGGUGCGUAGGCGGUCUUGUAAGUUAGAUGUGGAAUCUCACGGGCUUAACCGGUGGUAAGCCAUUUUGAAACUGCAGGGCCUGAGUACAGGAGAGGAGAGUGGAAUUCCUAGUGUAGCGGUGAAAUGCGUAGAUAUUAGGAGGAAUACCAGUGGCGAAGGCGGCUCUCUGGACUGUAACUGACGCUGAGGCACGAAAGCGUGGGGAGCAAACAGGAUUAGAUACCCUGGUAGUCCACGCUGUAAACGAUGAGUGCUAGGUGUCGGGGGUCAAACCUCGGUGCCGCAGUUAACACAUUAAGCACUCCGCNUGGGGAGUACGGUGGCAACACUGAAACUCAAAGGAAUUGACGGGGACCCGCACAAGCAGCGGAGCAUGUGGUUUAAUUCGAUGCAACGCGAAGAACCUUACCAGGGCUUGACAUCCCCCGGACCGAACUAGAGAUAGUUCUUUCCCUUCGGGGACUGGGGAGACAGGUGGUGCAUGGUUGUCGUCAGCUCGUGUCGUGAGAUGUUGGGUUAAGUCCCGCAACGAGCGCAACCCUUGCCUUUAGUUGCAAACAGUCUAGCUGUGCACUCUAGAGGGACUGCCGAUGACAAAUCGGAGGAAGGUGGGGAUGACGUCAAAUCAUCAUGCCCUUUAUGUCCUGGGCUACACACGUGCUACAAUGGUCGGUACAACGGGUAGCCACCUCGCGAGAGGGAGCCAAUCCCACAAAGCCGACCUCAGUUCGGAUUGUAGGCUGCAACCCGCCUACAUGAAGCCGGAGUUGCUAGUAAUCGCGGAUCAGAAUGUCGCGGUGAAUGCGUUCCCGGGUCUUGUACACACCGCCCGUCACACCAUGGGAGUUGACAAUACCCGAAGUCGGUGAGCUAACCGUAAGGAGGCAGCUGCCGAAGGUAGGGUCAAUGACUGGGGUGAAGUCGUAACAAGGUAACC
Molecule: ribosomal RNA, 1503 nt
Filed under: uncultured bacterium
Lineage: Bacteria
Description: bacterial SSU rRNA
Rfam family: Bacterial small subunit ribosomal RNA
Source: RNAcentral